This 155-nucleotide unclassified non-coding RNA is filed under the name uncultured Devriesia. RNAcentral's name for it is "sequence contains ITS2". Lineage: Eukaryota; Fungi; Ascomycota; Dothideomycetes; Mycosphaerellales; Teratosphaeriaceae. The record is from RNAcentral.
CACCAAUCAAGCCUGGCUUGGUGUUGGGCCCCGGGGGGUGACCCGGACCUCAAUGUCCCGUCGGCCGGACGACCCGGAUCCCAGCGAUGGACACACAAACACGCUGGUCGAGCCGGGGGGCCGCGCCGUGAACGACACCGUUCUGCGGAACGAAA